CCUACGGGAGGCAGCAGUGGGGGAUAUUGCACAAUGGGGGGAACCCUGAUGCAGCGACGCCGCGUGGGUGAAGAAGCGCCUCGGCGCGUAAAGCCCUUUCAGCAGGGAAGAAAAUGACGGUACCUGAAGAAGAAGACCCGGCUACCUACGUGCCAGCAGCCGCGGUAAUACGUAGGGGGCAAGCGUUAUCCGGAUUUACUGGGUGUAAAGGGGGCGCAGACGGCGAUGCAAGCCAGGAGUGAAAGCCCGGGGCUCAACCCCGGGACUGCUCUUGGAACUGCGUGGCUGGAGUGCAGGAGGGGCAGGCGGAAUGCCUGGUGUAGCGGUGAAAUGCGUAGAUAUCAGGAGGAACACCGGUGGCGAAGGCGGCCUGCUGGACUGCAACUGACGUUGAGGCCCGAAAGCGUGGGGAGCAAACAGGAUUAGAUACCCCAGUAGUC
Molecule: ribosomal RNA, 440 nt
Filed under: uncultured bacterium
Lineage: Bacteria
Description: partial 16S ribosomal RNA
Rfam family: Bacterial small subunit ribosomal RNA
Source: RNAcentral